This 867-nucleotide ribosomal RNA is filed under the name uncultured bacterium. RNAcentral's name for it is "bacterial SSU rRNA". It matches the Rfam family "Bacterial small subunit ribosomal RNA", at positions 26 to 896 of the family's 1533-position model. The record is from RNAcentral.
GGGAAAAUGCGGCAGGCAUAAUACAUGCAAGUUGAACGAGAUUAGUUUUAGCAAUAGAACUUUUUUAGUGGCGCACGGGUGCGUAACGCGUAUGCAACCUACCUUAAACAGGGGAAUAGCCUCUCGAAAGAGAGAUUAAUACCGCAUAAUAUAUAUUUAGAGCAUUCUAGAUAUAUUAAACCUACGGGGGUUUAAGAUGGGCAUGCGUGACAUUAGCUAGUUGGUGAGGUAACGGCUCACCAAGGCAACGAUGUCUAGGGGGUCUGAGAGGAUGUCCCCCCACACUGGUACUGAGACACGGACCAGACUCCUACGGGAGGCAGCAGUAGGGAAUAUUGGUCAAUGGAGGCAACUCUGAACCAGCCAUGCCGCGUGCAGGACUAAGGCCCUAUGGGUCGUAAACUGCUUUUGAACGGGAAGAAAUGUAUCUACGUGUAGAUAUUUGACGGUACCGUUAGAAUAAGGAUCGGCUAACUUCGUGCCAGCAGCCGCGGUAAUACGAAGGAUCCAAGCGUUGUCCGGAUUUACUGGGUUUAAAGGGUGCGUAGGCGGACUUAUAAGUCAGUGGUGAAAGCCUUCAGCUUAACUGAAGAACUGCCAUUGAAACUGUAAGUCUCGAGUUCGGUUGAGGUCAUUGGAAUGUAACAUGUAGCGGUGAAAUGCAUAGAUAUGUUACAGAACACCAAUUGCGAAGGCAGAUGACUAAACCGAAACUGACGCUGAGGCACGAAAGCGUGGGGAUCAAACAGGAUUAGAUACCCUGGGAGUCCACGCCCUAAACGUUGAAUACUCGACCUUAGCGAUAUACAGUUAGGGUCCAAGCGAAAGCGUUAAGUAUUCCACCUGGGAAGUACGUUCGCAAGAAUG